UAAGGGUUCGAAGACGAUCAGAUACCGUCGUAGUCUUAACUAUAAAUGAUACUGGCCAGGGAUAGGGCAAUGUCCAUCUCGACUCCCCCCGGACUUUUGGGAAACCAAAGCCUAUGAGUUCUGGGGGGAGUAUGGUCGCAAGGCUGAAAC
RNAcentral lists this ribosomal RNA (150 nucleotides) under Brefeldia maxima. RNAcentral describes it as "partial small subunit ribosomal RNA". It matches the Rfam family "Eukaryotic small subunit ribosomal RNA", at positions 991 to 1143 of the family's 1831-position model. Lineage: Eukaryota; Evosea; Eumycetozoa; Stemonitida; Stemonitidae. The record is from RNAcentral.